Molecule: ribosomal RNA, 156 nt
Filed under: Bacillus licheniformis
Lineage: Bacteria; Bacillati; Bacillota; Bacilli; Caryophanales; Bacillaceae
Description: partial 23S ribosomal RNA
Rfam family: Bacterial large subunit ribosomal RNA
Source: RNAcentral
GGUUAAGUUAGAAAGGGCGCACGGUGGAUCCUUGGCACUAGGAGCCGAUGAAGGACGGGACGAACACCGAUAUGCUUCGGGGAGCUGUAAGCAAGCUUUGAUCCGGAGAUUUCCGAAUGGGGAAACCCACUGCUCGUAAUGGAGCAGUAUCCAUAU